RNAcentral lists this ribosomal RNA (460 nucleotides) under uncultured bacterium. Its description in RNAcentral is "partial 16S ribosomal RNA". It matches the Rfam family "Bacterial small subunit ribosomal RNA", at positions 338 to 795 of the family's 1533-position model. The record is from RNAcentral.
CCUACGGGCGGCAGCAGUGAGGAAUAUUGGUCAAUGGACGAGAGUCUGAACCAGCCAAGUAGCGUGAAGGAUGACUGCCCUAUGGGUUGUAAACUUCUUUUAUAUGGGAAUAAAAUGUUCCACGUGUGGGAUUUUGUAUGUACCAUAUGAAUAAGGAUCGGCUAACUCCGUGCCAGCAGCCGCGGUAAUACGGAGGAUCCGAGCGUUAUCCGGAUUUAUUGGGUUUAAAGGGAGCGUAGGUGGAUUGUUAAGUCAGUUGUGAAAGUUUGCGGCUCAACCGUAAAAUUGCAGUUGAAACUGGCAGUCUUGAGUGCAGUAGAGGUGGGCGGAAUUCGUGGUGUAGCGGUGAAAUGCUUAGAUAUCACGAAGAACUCCGAUUGCGAAGGCAGUUCACUGGACUGCAACUGACACUGAGGCUCGAAAGUGUGGGUAUCAAACAGGAUUAGAUACCCGGGUAGUC